CCUACGGGUGGCAGCAGUGGGGGAUAUUGCACAAUGGGGGAAACCCUGAUGCAGCGACGCCGCGUGAGUGAAGAAGUAAUUCGUUAUGUAAAGCUCUAUCAGCAGGGAAGAAAAUGACGGUGCUUGAGGAAGAAGCCCCGGCUAACUACGUGCCAGCAGCCGCCGUAAUACGUAGGGGGCAAGCGUUAUCCGGAUUUACUGGGUGGAAAGGGAGCGUAGACGGCGGUGCAAGUCUGGAGUGAAAGGCGGGGGCUCAACCCCCGGACUGCUCUGGAAACUGUGGUGCUGGAGUGCAGGAGAGGCAAGUGGAAUUCCUAGUGUAGCGGUGAAAUGCGUAGAUAUUAGGAGGAACAUCAGUGGCGAAGGUGGCUAUCUGGAACGUAACUGACGCUGAGGAGCGAAAGCGUGGGGAGCAAACAGGAUUAGAUACCCUAGUAGUC
RNAcentral lists this ribosomal RNA (440 nucleotides) under uncultured bacterium. RNAcentral's name for it is "partial 16S ribosomal RNA". It matches the Rfam family "Bacterial small subunit ribosomal RNA", at positions 338 to 795 of the family's 1533-position model. The record is from RNAcentral.